UCCACUAAUCGUUGCCCUAUUGUCUUCCCACUUCCGAAUUGCAAGUUGGAAAGAGUGUAAUCAAUCAGUGAUAUUUCUGCAUCGAUUUAUGGCUUCAAAUGCAGAUAUCCCCAACUUCGGCCCUCCUCCUCAAUCUCAAGGAAGAUUGCAACAGUUGGAUGGAAAAAAAGUUACACGUUAGUAGUAAUUAGUGAUGGAAACAAUGGUUGCAAUUAAAAUAAUUAAUAGUGUGAAACGUCUAACGGUUGCAAUUAUAAUAUUGAAGAGGUUUGAGGCAAUGAAAAGUUAUGAGGGCAGUAAAGAGAUAUAAUAGAUGAGAAUUGUAAAGAUUCAACUGGAUGGCCAUUUUUGUUCACACAAUCGUUGAGAUGAAAUAAAAUUUCUAUGAUAUAUAUUCGGAGUGCUUCGAACAUUGAUAUGAUUUGUAGAUGAUUCUCUGGCAUCUCGCCUCCAUAGAAUAUUAAAUUUAACUAUGUGAGGUUUUGUGGCAUGCUAUUGAAAAUCUUUCUGCUAUCGGGUUUGAGGAAAAAAUUUCCUUUAUGUUCAAAAUAUCCAAGCGGCCAUGAAUGGAUAGCUAAAUUGCACGUAUGAACACCCUUAUAUAUACUUCGACCUGCUAUAAUUCAGAAGGUAUGAUAUUUUAUCGCAGAUUCUUAUUCUUGUGAAAGCCUUUUGUUUUAGAUACUUCAUUGGCCUUCCUUUUUUUUAUUUUUGUCAAAAGUUCCGGAUAUUGAGGGCCUAUGCAAGAAAUAGAAAGUGGACUAUAUUAAUUGCUACGGAAAAUUCUCCCUCCUUCUUACGUUUAUGUUGACAAGUUUUGUUUCAUUGCGAUGUUAGAUUUUUAGGGUAGUGUACAACAUGCAUCUUACCUAGCCUUUAAACCUUCAUGUCGGUAUUUUUUAUUUUUUUUUAAGUUCCUAAGCAAGCUAAUCUUAAUAUUAGCAUUUCCAUAGAGUUGGUGGUCGAUCGCGAGAACUUUUUCACAGCAAAAAGUGUGGUGUUCAUAGCACUUCUCUAUUAAUGUGAUUCAAGGCUUCAUGACAAGCUAUUAUCUUCUUUUCUCAAGUUCUUUUAUUUUUUCAAUUUGAGUGUGCAAUUGCUUAAUCUAUUUUUUUACUUUCUGAAAUUAUCUAAAUUUUUGUUGUAUUUGAAAGCAUUUGGAAGUUUUAAAUUAUUUGGUAUGGUUUUUUCAAAAGUUUGUAAGACAAUGUUAGAUGUUGGCUAAGUUUAGUUGCAAAAGAAGUUGUUUAGUCGAUUUAUAAAAUAUCAACGAUGUGAAAGCAUUUAGAUUUUUAAAGAAUUUUGUAAUGAUUUUUAAAAAUAAUUAUAAGGCCAUGCUAGAUGUUUGGCCGGCUUAUUUUGAUAAUAGUAAAUUGCUCUGUGCUAUGUGCUACAUGGAAUUAUAAUUUAAGUCCUUCAUUAAUCGUUUUGGAGAAAUUCCAAGAUUUGCUCUUGCAGUUUAAACGUGAAACAAAAUUGUGAUUUUUGUUUUUCGGCUUUUACUUCUGAAAAGUUUGAUUUUAUUUUAGGGAAAAAGAAGAAGUGCAUGUGAAGAAUACCGUUUUUUAAAACUAAGGUAUUGUCCAUUAAUAUUUUCCCUUUAAUCCAUUAGGGGCCGUUUGGUAGGUGGGAUAAGGAUAACAAUCCCGGGAUAUUUCAUGAGAUUAUUUUAUUAUGUGUUUGGUCAUAGGUACUAUUUAGUCCCAGGUGUCAUAGGUACUAUUUAGUCCCAGGUUAUUUUAUCCCACCAUUUUUAAAAUUGAUCACAUGGGAUAAGUUAUACAUAUAGAAAGUGAGAUAAAAUAAUUUCAUGAGUUAUUCUUGUGUAUCCCAUCCCACCAACCAAUCGAUCCUUUAUAUUAUGCUUCAAUUAAUUGUAUUAAUUCUUAUAAAGAUUAAAAUAAAAGUUGAUGAUAUUUUCCUUUUCUUUAGGAUUCAUUGGCAUAUAUUGUUUUUUCGUUCAUUCGAAAUAUAUGUUAGAUAAUUAAGAAAAUCGCAUUUUUUUUUAUUUUUUUUUUGGGUAUUAUUGAAUGAACUUUUCAAUUUUAUGAUAAUGAGAUAUGACUAAUGAUCUUUAUACAAGAUGUAUCUUAUCUUGUGAGUAUAAGCGAUGAUGCAUGAAUCUUAAGUUUAUUAUUGGUAGUUUGGCAACUUUGAUGCACGAGCUAUUUAUGUCAAAAAAUAUAUAUUCCUCAUUUCAUGUAAUAGCACACCUAAUUGAUGGUAAACAUUAAUUUUUUCAUACAAAUUAUAGCAUUAAUUUUUAAAUUAUCUUAUUUUUUAACCGCGCGAAGCGCGGAUAAGAUUACUAGUGCUAAUUAACUUGGUUUGCGUUGAAAGCCAAGUCGGCUUUCUUCAGUCUUCCGCGGAUGUAUUCCUACACAAACAUUUCAAUCGUUGCCUAUUCUUCUAAUAAUAAUAAUUACCUGAUUAACUCAUAGAUAAUUACACCUCAAACAUUUUGUAACUGACACGUUACUAAUCUUCUUUACUCGAAUACAUCCUCUUAACUCUUAUAUAUGAGUUAUACACUCUCCCUCCUCCUGUAACAUCAGAUCUUCUCCUCCGUUCUCUUAAAAAAAAUCAAUUUCUUUUGUAAAUUGUGAUUCAAUGUUAUCUGUUUUUUCUGUUCUUCUUUUUCUACUUUAUUUAUUAGGUAGAUUUUGUCUUUAUGAUAUGAACUCGGACCUUUUUCAACGUGUUUUUUUAUAUGUAUUUGAGAUCUUUUCCAACUAGAAAUGUUUAACAUUAGAAUAUUAUACUAACACGCUGUCACACCCCAUUUUAACCCGGGUUAAAUUAGAAGUAUGACAUAUUGGAGAUUCCUGUUUUUUGUUGGUUUGUUAGGGAGUCGUCACCUAAUUAUUUACGGUGAAUUAGGACACCUAAAGUUUAUUAAAGUUAUGUUUAAAUUUAACUCUGUUUAAGGUCUGCGAAACUUAAGAUUCUAGGCAAGGGUUCAAUUAGUCUAAAGGGAAGGUAUUAGGCACCCUUUAAGACCCAUUAACAAUGGUUAACCGACCGGACUUAUAGUUAAUUAAAGCUAAGUGUAAAUAUAGUAUUAUAGAAAAGAACAUAACUUGGUAAAUAGGACUGAAGUUAUAGAUAGACGUAUAAGUAAGAAUGCUAUUUAAAAUAGGACUUGUAAAAAUAAUACUUUGUACAAAAGAGUAUUUCUAAUGUUAUUUUGUAGACACGACUUAUAAAUGUCGUCAAGGUUUUAAACGAAAGUAUAAUAAUGUUGUUUGAAAUAAUACUUGUAAAAAAAUGUAGUGAUUUAAUAAAAAGAGUUUAAUUAUAAGUAAACCAAAAAAAAGAAACGGAAUGAGUAAUGUUCAUACGUAUUAUGAAUUACGCCAACUAGCAAAUUAAAAUGUAUUUGUAAAAUUAUUGCAAGAUUAAUAUUAAUGUUUUAACAAAUAUGUAUUUCAAGUAUUCUAAGAUAAAAAGAGUAAAUCUUGAUUCUUUUAGCUCGAUGUGGUCGUGCUAAUUUUGAAAAUCAGUCAUUCAAAUAAAUGUUAUGGAUACUAUAAAUAAGUUUAGAAGAUAAAACGGAAGUGAAUGUAAUUUGCGGAAUUAACUACCCAUUACUAAACUAAACUCCUUAAUGUCAAACUAAGAUUCAUCUAAAUUAAAGAAAUAAGACAAAGUAAAGAAAUCAGUCAUGCAAGGCAAAUUAGAAGUACACAACGAAAUAAGAUAGCGAAAAAAAAUAAUGUCGUAUCUAGCCCGUUUAGGCCCAACUAUUGCGGACUGUUUCCGCUGCUGGGCUUUAGUCCAGAUUUUAACAUGGCUGUAAGGCCGUUUCUGCCAUAUGGGCCUUGGCCCAGAGUUUGUUUGCUGCGAAUGGAAGGCUGAUUCGAGAGAAGGAUUUGGCUGGGAUUUUAGCCCGACACCGAAUGUGGAAGGCGACGAGUCCUCGAACUCGUGCGCGAUGUUCAUGCAUAAAACGAAAGAAAAGAUUAGUAAAGUGAAGAUAUACAAGAGAAUUAUAUGUGAUAUACAGCGCAAUAUACACUGAAUUAUAUAAACAUUUGUAUAUGUCUAUACACCUUGUGUAUAGAUUUAAUUAGUAAGAGAUGGCAGUUAACCUGGGAUUACAAUAUAUAGUGGAACAGCGAAACCCAAAUCAAGUUUUUAUAAAAGAGAAAAAAGUUUACAUGUUGACAGUACAUCAUUAUUGUCCAGGCUCCUAUUGAGCCACAACUUAUAAUUGAGAUAUAUUUUAAUAAUGGGCAAACAUCAUUUUUCGUAUGCACCCAUACGCAAACAGUAGCGGCAGAAUUAAUACGGGGGAAUUUAGAGCGUUAACUGAAAUUCAUUAAGAACCAAAUGUGGGCCAGUAUGAAAUCUAAGCAUACUAUAUUGUAAACUUCAUUUCAACGAACCCCCACAAACUAAUCUAAACACUCAACGGGUUGUAUCGUAUUGUAGACUUUGUUCGACCAAGUCAUAGAAAGUGUAUAUGAGACAAUAUGUCAAGUAGUAAUAACUAAACAUAUGGACAACGUAUUAAACUCAGACCAAAGCACAAAUAAUUCAACAGAAGGACAGUAAGUAGAUUUCCAUUUUAACCCUGAACCAAUUUUGUUUCAGAUAAAGCUGCGUAGGAAUCUCAUGACUCAAAAUAUAGACUCAGAUUAACAACUUGAUUCACUCCUUUUAUAAAUUUUAGGUCUGGACAAACAAAUAUGUUGAUUAAGACUAGUGUCAACUCUCACCUUAAGGCAUUCAAGAUCUUUAAACAAGAUUCAAAGGUAUUUCAGGCAAGCAAGUAACCAAAUGGCCCUGGAUUAAACCUGAUUCUAAAUAGUGAUCCUCUAAACACUCGACCUAAUCAAACCUUUAAGUAUUUCGCACAACUGGAUUCGAAAAAAGGAUAAAGACUCAGCUGGUAAUAAAACAGGUCCCCAAAAUGCAAUGUGCAGAUGCAAAGACAACAAAAUAUUUGUUUCACAAAUAGGUCAUAUGGUAAGCAUUUUAGAUUUCCACUAGUUCUAAGGGCCUAUUUAGUCAAACCCAACCCAGAGAUCAUGCCCAAGUGGAGGAUUUUAAGCAUUAUAGUCCUGAUAUCAGUAUUCUAUAGGUCUUAUUUUAGCUUGAUUUGCCUUUAUCAAAUGAAAUAAGCCAGGCUGAGUUCUGAAUACAUGGUACUCUUAUUAAUAUUCCUGAUCAGUUUAUCUAUUUGAUUUUAUUCUUCAUCAUAUUUAUACCAGGUCAACCAGUUAUUAUACACCAUAAAGCCUACCAAGUCAAUAGGAAACAAAGGCAAAUUACAGGGAAUGUCAAGUCAUGAUACUUGUACAAUAAUGCAACAUCUAUCAUGGAAGACAUUAAGAGUGAACAGAGCAUUUUGUACAAGGAUCCUUUCAACACAGAGUUAAGAUGAUUCUCACUUAGGAAUAGCAGGGUGGGGCAUGACAAUCUCAUCUCUUAGGAGAGGAAUAUCAUAGUUUAAGCUAGUGAGAGUUGCAGACUCAUUCAAAAUACAAGACAAUUAUCAUACAACAACACUUAGAGGUAUAUCUAGGUCAUUAGUUCUUUCAAAAUAAGUAUUGUCACAUAGAGAGGACAAAUGGUCAAACAAUGAUCCAACAACAUGUCAUGUAAGGAUCUAGCACAAGGCAGUCCCAUCAAAACCAUACGAUCUAAACUACUAUUCAAACAGUUAUGUGACAUCCCAUA
Lycium barbarum (goji berry) is the source of this 5685-nucleotide long non-coding RNA. RefSeq lists it as uncharacterized. The transcript has 3 exons. NCBI's taxonomy places the organism in Eukaryota, Viridiplantae, Streptophyta, Magnoliopsida, Solanales, Solanaceae. The record is from RefSeq and is a predicted model, not a curated record.